RNAcentral lists this long non-coding RNA (649 nucleotides) under Mustela putorius furo (domestic ferret). RNAcentral's name for it is "lncRNA (ENSMPUG00000028101.1)". Lineage: Eukaryota; Metazoa; Chordata; Mammalia; Carnivora; Mustelidae. The record is from RNAcentral.
AAAAGACCCUAAGAAGGCAAGCGAGAUGCUGUUUUCAUGUUGUAGGGAGCCGAAAUUCUUAAGUGGUGCUGGUCGACCCGCAACACUGGAAGGGUGGAUGGUGGCAGCCUUAGCAAGCGCUGGGAUGAAGCAGACCUAGGUCAGCGAUGUAUAGAUAUUAUCACAUUUAAUAUUGUUUUCCCCCUUGGGUAACAGUUCAGCUGAUUGCCAGGAGGAGUUUGAGGUCUGAGCAGUUUAAGUCUCCCGGGGCACUGAGAUGAUUGCGUAGCCCAGCUGUGCCACAGGCCUUCUGGUCAAGAGUGCGGACCUGGAGCCACGCUGGGUGAGAUUUGAACCCAGUGCAGCUGCCUUGUGGCUGAGCGCCCCAGGGACAGUGAGUUCACCUGUCCGGGCCCCUGUCUCCCUGUCUCUAUAGUGGGAGCAAUAAUAGUUGUUAUUUUAUGAAGUUACUGGGGCAACAUGGGUUAGUCCCAGUAGUACAGGGCAUGGCACACGACGUUUCUCACCUGGGUGGAUCGUCUGGGAUAUCGUCCCCGAGGAAAAAUGCAUUCAUGCGUUCAGUCUUCACCCUGUUUCUAGCAGGUGAGGCUAACCAAGACCUGACACGAUCAUACCGUCACUAAUUACAACAGCUGCAGAGAAAGAUGCC